Molecule: long non-coding RNA, 1588 nt
Organism: Mus musculus (house mouse)
Lineage: Eukaryota; Metazoa; Chordata; Mammalia; Rodentia; Muridae
Product: predicted gene, 31945
Exons: 5
Source: RefSeq, a predicted model, not a curated record
CAAUGGGGACACCCAUCCAUUGGGGGUGGGUGGAUCCCUAAACCUCAAAGAAAGGGGUCUGGUAGCAGGUAGGACUGGGGACAUUUGCUCUGUGAGCCUCUCCUGCCUCAGCUUUUCCUCCCUAACCCACAGGAAGCCUGCUGACCAAGAAGGGACAUUGGUUUAUCACUGAAGUGUCAAGUCUGUACUCUACAAGGGAAGGAACACUUGGUGGGCGGGGUGCUCAUACUCCUGAUAACAGAUUUGCCUUGGGGGACUUGGGUUGGCAGCCAUGGCAACACAUGAUCCUGAGCGCUACCCACACCAUCCCCACAAUCCUCUUGCCAUGUGCUGGAUUCAAGUGCUUUCCUUUCUUUUGACAGGGAGGCUACGGCUUAGCAAGACACCACAGGCUUGGGAUAAUUAAGGCCGGGAUCAUGACCUAUCACCCAGCAUCAGCCACCUGUCUCAGCCAUAGCCAAAAUGUCUGGCAUGUAGCCUGGAUGCCUUGAUAGUCCCAGCUGGGUGGGCCUGGGGUCCACGCCCUGGCCCUUACCAGCCACAUGUUCUGAGUGUAGUCAUCUGAUUGGUAGGGUUUAGAAUCCAUUAUGUCUGUGUCCAACCUCACUUUCAAUAUGAUCCCCAGGCGCCUCUCAGCCACCAUUUGUCAUCCUUUCUGCACAGAGGGCCAGGAACUGCUGACAUCUGAUCCUAGACUCUCACAUCUUGUGACAGAUGACCCCUAUCUUUUCCAGGUAGAGCUCAAGGCACUGCCACACAGACACCCCCCCCCCCCGAAGGCUGCCUUUCCAGCCAGGACUUCUUGCCAUAAAUGGAUGGAUAUGCCUUUUCACAGACAGCUCAUCCAGGACUCAGGAACCCUGGGGAAUGACCCUGUUCCUCACCUGCCAUUCAGGCCUUCCUUGCUUCCUUGAGGUGGACAUCCCUAGCGGACUCUCCAAAGAGGGUUCUGAAAGUUGGACAGCAUUGACCGUUCUGCUCUUUGAAGCUCUCAUCUGAGGGUGGGAGGAGCCCCAGUGGCCUUCCUGGGACAUGGCCUGAGGGUGCAUCUGGGGACUUACCAGCUCCAGCAGCUGAGCGCUUCACUUCUUUAUGACCUGCAUCCACCAGGUCUGCAAAGAGCGCACCAAUGUCACUUCAAGUACAUAGCUGCUGUAAGGAGCAAGUUAUAUUCCCCUCUGUGAGGGGGAUUGCAGAGGGUAAGCAGCAGCAUGGUGAGGACCUUGACCUGGGACACUAGUACAUCAGGUGCCUGACCCUCAGUCAGAAGUUGCAGCUGUUCCAGGCAGAUUCGGGAAUCAAUAGCGGCCUUUAUCCACCGAGUUCCCCUCAGUGCCAAAUCUGAUGCUGGGUACAGAGUCCCCAAGUCUCAAAAGAAGUGGGUCUGCCCCUGAAAGUCUCUGCGGGGGCAGGAGCAGGGGCUGACAUCCUAUACUGAGCAGAAAGGAGAAGACACACUGAACACUGGCAUUCACCUCCUUCUCUGAUGACUGCUGACACAAGGUGACCAACUGGCUCAGACUCUGGCCACCAUGCCUUUGGACUGUCCCCUCAGACUACAGAGUCAAAUAAAACCCUUUCUUUCUCA